UACGUAGGUGGCAAGCGUUGUCCGGAAUUAUUGGGCGUAAAGCGCGCGCAGGCGGUCCUUUAAGUCUGAUGUGAAAGCCCACGGCUCAACCGUGGAAGGUCAUUGGAAACUGGAGGACUUGAGUACAGAAGAGGAAAGCGGAAUUCCACGUGUAGCGGUGAAAUGCGUAGAGAUGUGGAGGAACACCAGUGGCGAAGGCGGCUUCUGGUCUGUAAACUGACGCUGAGGCGCGAAGCGUGGGGAGCAAACAGG
This 252-nucleotide ribosomal RNA is filed under the name uncultured bacterium. RNAcentral's name for it is "partial 16S ribosomal RNA". It matches the Rfam family "Bacterial small subunit ribosomal RNA", at positions 524 to 776 of the family's 1533-position model. The record is from RNAcentral.